UGCCAGCCGCCGCGGUAAUACGGAGGGUGCAAGCGUUGUUCGGAAUCAUUGGGCGUAAAGCGAGUGUAGGCGGCUAGGUGAGUCGGAUGUGAAAUCCCGGGGCCCAACCCCGGAACUGCAUUCGAUACUGCCUGGCUAGAGUCCCGGAGAGGAUGGCGGAAUUCCCGGUGUAGAGGUGAAAUUCGUAGAUAUCGGGAGGAACACCAGUGGCGAAGGCGGCCAUCUGGACGGUGACUGACGCUCAGACUCGAAAGCGUGGGGAGCAAACAGGAUUAGAUA
This 279-nucleotide ribosomal RNA is filed under the name uncultured bacterium. RNAcentral describes it as "partial 16S ribosomal RNA". It matches the Rfam family "Bacterial small subunit ribosomal RNA", at positions 506 to 784 of the family's 1533-position model. The record is from RNAcentral.